UACGGAGGGGGCGAGCGUUGUUCGGAUUUACUGGGCGUAAAGGGCGCGUAGGCGGAGGACCAAGUCAGAGGUGAAAGGCCCGGGCUUAACCUGGGAAUUGCCUUUGAAACUGGGUCUCUAGAGACCGGAAGAGGUAAGCGGAAUUCCCAGUGUAGAGGUGAAAUUCGUAGAUAUUGGGAAGAACACCAGUGGCGAAGGCG
RNAcentral lists this ribosomal RNA (200 nucleotides) under uncultured bacterium. RNAcentral's name for it is "partial 16S ribosomal RNA". It matches the Rfam family "Bacterial small subunit ribosomal RNA", at positions 524 to 723 of the family's 1533-position model. The record is from RNAcentral.